Molecule: ribosomal RNA, 1579 nt
Filed under: Oenococcus kitaharae
Lineage: Bacteria; Bacillati; Bacillota; Bacilli; Lactobacillales; Lactobacillaceae
Description: bacterial SSU rRNA
Rfam family: Bacterial small subunit ribosomal RNA
Source: RNAcentral
UUCAAACUUUUAAAAUGAGAGUUUGAUCCUGGCUCAGGAUGAACGCUGGCGGCGUGCCUAAUACAUGCAAGUCGUACGCUAGCCGUUAACCUGAUCUCUUCGGAGUGACGGCUGACAAUGACUAGAGUGGCGAACGGGUGAGUAACACGUAAGAAACCUGCCCUUUAGUGGGGGAUAACAUUUGGAAACAGAUGCUAAUACCGCGUAACAACUUUGAACUCAUGUUCUUAGUUUAAAAGGUCCUUUUGGAUCGCUAAAGGAUGGUCUUGCGGCGUAUUAGCUAGUUGGUAGGGUAAUGGCCUACCAAGGCCAUGAUGCGUAGCCGAGUUGAGAGACUGGCCGGCCACAUUGGGACUGAGACACUGCCCAAACUCCUACGGGAGGCUGCAGUAGGGAAUUUUCCGCAAUGCACGAAAGUGUGACGGAGCGACGCCGCGUGUGUGAUGAAGGCUUUCGGGUCGUAAAGCACUGUUGUAAGGGAAGAAUGACCGGAUUCAGAGAAAGUUUCCGGCUUGACGGUACCUUACCAGAAAGGGAUGGCUAAAUACGUGCCAGCAGCCGCGGUAAUACGUAUGUCCCGAGCGUUAUCCGGAUUUAUUGGGCGUAAAGCGAGCGCAGACGGUUGAUUAAGUCUGAUGUGAAAUCCCGGAGCCUAACUCCGGAACUGCAUUGGAAACUGGUUUACUUGAGUGCGAUAGAGGCAAGUGGAACUCCAUGUGUAGCGGUGAAAUGCGUAGAUAUGUGGAAGAACACCAGUGGCGAAGGCGGCUUGCUAGAUCGUAACUGACGUUGAGGCUCGAAAGUAUGGGUAGCAAACGGGAUUAGAUACCCCGGUAGUCCAUACCGUAAACGAUGGGUGCUAGUUGUUAAGAGGUUUCCGCCUCCUAGUGACGUAGCUAACGCAUUAAGCACCCCGCCUGAGGAGUACGGCCGCAAGGCUAAAACUUAAAGGAAUUGACGGGGACCCGCACAAGCGGUGGAGCAUGUGGUUUAAUUCGAAGAUACGCGAAAAACCUUACCAGGCCUUGACAUACCAAUGACCGCUUUUGUAAUGAAAGCUUUUCUUCGGAACAUUGGAUACAGGUGGUGCAUGGUCGUCGUCAGCUCGUGUCGUGAGAUGUUGGGUUAAGUCCCGCAACGAGCGCAACCCUUGUUAUUAGUUGCCAGCAUUCAGUUGGGCACUCUAAUGAGACUGCCGGUGAUAAACCGGAGGAAGGUGGGGACGACGUCAGAUCAUCAUGCCCCUUAUGGCCUGGGCAACACACGUGCUACAAUGGGAAGUACAACGAGUUGCGAACCGGUGACGGCAAGCUAAUCUCUUAAAACUUCUCUCAGUUCGGACUGGAGUCUGCAACUCGACUCCACGAAGGCGGAAUCGCUAGUAAUCGCGAAUCAGCAUGUCGCGGUGAAUACGUUCCCGGGUCUUGUACACACCGCCCGUCAAAUCAUGGGAGUCGGAAGUACCCAAAGUCGCUUGGCUAACUUUUAGAGGCCGGUGCCUAAGGUAAGAUCGAUGACUGGGAUUAAGUCGUAACAAGGUAGCCGUAGGAGAACCUGCGGCUGGAUCACCUCCUUUCUA